Molecule: long non-coding RNA, 1002 nt
Filed under: Aquila chrysaetos chrysaetos
Lineage: Eukaryota; Metazoa; Chordata; Aves; Accipitriformes; Accipitridae
Description: lncRNA (ENSACCG00020014128.1)
Source: RNAcentral
GAAACAUCUAUUUAAAAUAAACUUGUUAUUUCUCUCUUUUUAGGGAAACUCACUGCAGAACUUGCAAAAUGUGAUGCAACGAUUAGUAAGUGACAUUUCCUUGUACACCUCAGGAUGGUUUGGUUGGUGUUUCAGCGUUGAAGGGAUGCAGGAAUUUCUUAAUUAAACCAAAUUUGGGUCGUGAGAAGAAAUGAUCUCUUGGGUUUCAAGGGCCGGGGGAGCCUGAAUCCAAAGUUCAGGGGGAGAAAGGAAAAUAUAAUGCGGGGCAAAUUCCCAUGGGGGGAGUCGAGAUGGGCUGGAGAGGUGCAGGUUUGAGGCGUUCGGGAAAUCUAAAAGGAACUAAUGUUAUUUUCCGUUUUAAGGGAUAUUUACGGUGGAGCUCGGUAAGUCCAUUUCCUUCCUUUUGCAUUUUUUAUUAGGUUUUUAAAAAAUUAUUAAAUUUUUAAUAACUAAUACAUUGCAAGCAAAAUAUCAAAUUGUACUUUUAAAAUACAAUUAUAAAAACAAACCCCAAACUUAUUUCUGCCUGUUUCCCUGUGUUUCAACCACCUGGAAAAAACCAGCAUCUUAAAGGCAGAAGUAGAGAAGUGUUAAAUCCCAAAAUAAUUAGAAAUGGGAAUAACAUGGGCUAGAGCAGAAAUAGUCUUGUAUUCCAAAUUAUUAUAGAUGUAACGUGUGAAUGGCAGAACCAUGAGAAAUAACACACGAUUGGUUUUUUUUCAUUCAUUUUUAGGAGAGCGGCACACAAAAAUAGGUGAACUUACUGCAGACGUCGGGGACUGCAAUAGAAAACUUCGUAAGUGCCUUUUUGUAAUUGUGAGAAUUAACCCUGAGAAUUUUGUCAUCUAUUAUGUCAUCAAUAAGAGAGGAUCGUCAUGAAAUUCCUGUUUUGGUUUUUUUUUUCUCUAUUUUAAGGGCAACAUGCAGCAGAACUUGGUAAGGAAUUUCACUGUUUUGCUCAAAAUGGAUUUUUUUUUUUUUUUUUGCGUAUCUGAAGUUUUU